Long non-coding RNA from Herpailurus yagouaroundi (jaguarundi), 491 nucleotides. RefSeq lists it as uncharacterized. The transcript is spliced from 2 exons. Lineage: Eukaryota; Metazoa; Chordata; Mammalia; Carnivora; Felidae. The record is from RefSeq and is a predicted model, not a curated record.
GCCACUGCUGGUAUCUUCAUAGCCUCCUGCACACUUCCCGCUGCUGCUUUGCCAACAAAAUUGCCACCUGUUCCAGCACAACCAGUUGCACCAAGGCUGUCAUAGCGUCUGAUGCCAGCUGCCUUCAGUAGUGAUGUUGCCAAUGCUGUUCUGUCCUCACAGGGGCCUCUCACCUUUUUUCAUUUUAGCAGAAAGACCCAAGUCAAAAUCACCAUGAAAACCAACCUAGAACAUACUUGUUCCCUGGGGACUCACGUAGCUCUAGUAGCGUACUUUGUAUUUUCCUGAUCUGGGAACUGAGAAUUCAGAGGAUCUUGACAUCUUAGAUUUUCCAUAAUCCUCUUAGUGGGCCAUGUCCUGCUUCCUCACCAGUCUGAGGAAAAUUGAACACGUUUCUCACUUCUGAGACAUGGCUGUUUUUUGCUCAGAUCAAGGAAAUACGAACUACUGGAGCUCCAUGUUCAAUAAAUUAAAGACGUUAGAAGUGUCUA